Molecule: ribosomal RNA, 610 nt
Filed under: uncultured bacterium
Lineage: Bacteria
Description: bacterial SSU rRNA
Rfam family: Bacterial small subunit ribosomal RNA
Source: RNAcentral
CCUACGGGAGGCAGCAGUAAGGAAUAUUGGUCAAUGGACGCAAGUCUGAACCAGCCAUGCCGCGUGAAGGAUUAAGGUCCUCUGGAUUGUAAACUUCUUUUAUAUGGGACGAAAACAGAUCUUUCUAGGUCCUUUGACGGUACCAUAUGAAUAAGCACCGGCUAACUCCGUGCCAGCAGCCGCGGUAAUACGGAGGGUGCAAGCGUUAUCCGGAUUCACUGGGUUUAAAGGGUGCGUAGGCGGGUAGGUAAGUCAGUGGUGAAAUCCUGGAGCUCAACUCCAGAACUGCCAUUGAUACUAUCUAUCUUGAAUAUUGUGGAGGUAAGCGGAAUAUGUCAUGUAGCGGUGAAAUGCUUAGAUAUGACAUAGAACACCCAUUGCGAAGGCAGCUUACUACGCAUAUAUUGACGCUGAGGCACGAAAGCGUGGGGAUCAAACAGGAUUAGAUACCCUGGUAGUCCACGCCCUAAACGAUGGAUACUCGACAUACGCGAUACACAGUGUGUGUCUGAGCGAAAGCAUUAAGUAUCCCACCUGGGAAGUACGUUCGCAAGAAUGAAACUCAAAGGAAUUGACGGCGNGAGAGNGCGAGGACGACACGAGGGAGGAG